CUCGGUGAUUAUUGCGCAGGGGUUCCACCUCUUCCCAUUCCGAACAGAGAAGUUAAGCCCUGUAGCGCCGAUGGUACUGCCCAAGUGGUGGAAGAGUAGGUCGUUGCCGAGG
Molecule: ribosomal RNA, 112 nt
Filed under: Rhodothermales bacterium
Lineage: Bacteria; Pseudomonadati; Rhodothermota; Rhodothermia; Rhodothermales
Source: RNAcentral